Molecule: long non-coding RNA, 975 nt
Filed under: Rattus norvegicus (Norway rat)
Lineage: Eukaryota; Metazoa; Chordata; Mammalia; Rodentia; Muridae
Description: long non-coding RNA NONRATT026685
Source: RNAcentral
GUCCGCUGCUCCCCAGCAUACAUUUCUGGAGCAGCCUUAGUCCGGUCGCCCCGCUGAGUCCCGCUAGGCUGCAAGGGCCAAACACACUUUUCCAGUUCCCCACACUGCUCAAUGGUCACAUGCCCAUGCCGCUCCCCAGUCUGGAUAGAGCCCCAUCUCCAGUACUGCUGUCCUCCAGCUCUCAGAAAUCAUGAUGACAGCCACCGCCACUGUCAGCGACUAAGGACUCACAGAACUGAUGAUGCCAGUUUGUCCCUCUGGGCUAGUUUACCUGUGUCAUGAGAAGGACGUCGUGAAACCCGGUCAAUUUGGUUUGCACUUUUCAUAACACGGAUAAUCUAGAUGUAUGUCACCAUUUUAAAAGACGGUUUUAUAUAUAUAUAUAUAUAUAUAUAUAUAUAUAUAUAUAUAUAUACAUAUAUAUAUAUAUAUAUUUCAGCUCUCUAUGGAAGUCUGUUUUGCAUCAAGUGGAUUUUAAUGUUUGUUUUUUAUCCUGUUAGCUCUGGAGUGUUGAACACUGACAGUGAGGAGCCUUUCUUAAUGUUUUCAGUGUAACUAAUAAGGCUGUGAAGCUUUCUAUCGCUUUAAAUCUACAUAUGCUGAGCUCUGCUUGUAUACACGGUAUAACCAGCUGUGCCUUCCUUUGCAUUUAGUUUUAUGUACAUGAACUUGUGUAUUUCUAGUAUUGAGAGGAAAUGUUUGAAGGACGCAUUGGCAUCAAACAGCUCUCAGUAGAGUGCUAUUUUCUCACGUAGACACCAUCAAAGUGUACUUCUAUCACUAAGAACUGCCUUAGGACUUCUUUUGAACUGAAAUCCAGUAAAUACAAUGUCCAAGUAAUGUUUUUAUAAGAAUGAACGAAGCCAUAUUUAGACAAUAAACAUUCUUUAAAGAACAUGUUCCAAAGUGCAUUUUUUAAAAGGAGAACUUUGAGAGGCCAGUGGCUUAGUCAUCUAUAGAGGCCUUUCUAACCCC